GUUGCCGGUUAUGGGCGUGUGGUGGAUGCCUUGGCGGACAGGACCGAUGAAGGACGCGUGGGGCCGCGAUAGGCCUCGGGGAGCCGCCGACAGGGCUUUGAUCCGAGGGUUUCCGAAUGGGGCAACCCGCCGGCCGUUAUGGGCCGGCACCACCUUUGGGUGGGGGGUACGCAGGGAAGUGAAACAUCUCAGUACCUGCAGGAGGAGAUAUUCCGUGAGUAGUGGCGAGCGAAAGCGGAUGACGACCAAACCCCGCGCGCGUGAUACCCGUCGGGGGUUGCGUGUGGGGUGUUGCGGGAGGCCGCUUUCCCGGUUCCGACGGGCCGGGCGUCAGUGACAAAGCCGUGUGCGAGGGGAACCGGAUUGGAUUCCGGGCCGUAGAGGGUGAUGGCCCCGUACCCGUAGGCGCAUGGUCUGGCGUGUGGUGUUCCCAAGUAGCGCGGGACUCGUGGAAUCCCGUGUGAAUCGGCCCGGACCGCCGGGUAAGUCUGAAUAUUCCUGUCCGACCGAUAGCGUACUAGUACCGUGAGGGAAAGGUGAAAAGCACCCCGGGAGGGGAGUGAAAGAGUUCCUGAAACCGUGCGCCUGCAAACCGUCGGAGCCUCUUUGAUGGGGUGACGGCGUGCCUAUCGAAAAAUGAGUCUGCGAGUCAGUGAUGGGUGGCGAGCGUAAGCCGUGUGGUGUACGCGUAGCGAAAGCGAGUCCGAAGAGGGCGUUUUUGAGUCGCUUGUCCUGGACCCGAAGCGGGAUGAUCUAGCCCUGGGCAGGUUGAAGCGCGGGUAAGACCGUGUGGAGGACCGGACCCACCUGGGUUGAAAACCGGGGGGAUGACCUGGGGCUGGGGGUGAAAGGCCAAUCAAAUUCCGUGAUAGCUGGUUCUCUCCGAAAUGCAUUUCGGUGCAGCGUCGUGUGAUUGCAUCCGGGGGGUAGAGCUACUGGAUGCUUGAGGGCCCGUAUGGGGUACCGACAGCAGCCAAACUCCGAAUACCCGUGAUGUGUAUCAUGGCAGUGAGUCGGCGGGGGAUAAGCUCCGUCGUCGAAAGGGAAACAGCCCAGACCGUCGUCUAAGGUCCCUCAGCGCGUGCUAAGUGGGAAAGGAUGUGGGGUCGCAUAGACAGCCAGGAGGUUGGCUCAGAAGCAGCCAUCCUUGAAAGAGUGCGUAACAGCUCACUGGUCUAGUGGUCCCGCGCCGACAAUGUAGCGGGGCUCAAGCACGCCACCGAAGACGCGGCAGCAAUGUUUUGUUGUUGGGUAGGAGAGCGUCCCCACGGGGUCGAAGCGCAUGGCGUGAGCCGUCGUGGACUUGUGGGGAGUGAGAAUGCAGACAUGAGUAGCGAGAGCGGGGUGAGGAUCCCCGCCGCUGGAUGACCAAGGGUUCCGGGGCCACGUUCGUCGUCCCCGGGUGAGUCGGGUCCUAAGGCGAGGCCGACAGGCGUAGUCGAAUGGAUGAACGGGUUGAUAUUCCCGUACCGGCUUCUGGCCGUUCGAGCGCGUGGAGUGACGCAGUGGGGUAGCCGGCCGCGGAGGUGGUUUUCCGUGGCCAAGCGUGUGGCCCGCAUCCCAGGCAAAUCCGGGGUGCAUAUGGGGUGAGGCGCGAUGGUGGGGGUCUUGUGGCCCGAAUCCGGUGAUCCCGUGCUGCCGAGAAAAGCUUCGGCGCGAGGCUGGUGGCCGCCCGUACCCGAAACCGACACUGGUGGUCUGGUAGAGUAUACCGAAGCGAGCGAGCGAAUCCUGGUCAAGGAACUCGGCAAAUUGCUCCCGUGCCUUCGGCAUAAGGGAGGCCCCCCGGGGUGAAGGGCUUCGCGCCCGGAGCGUUGGGGGGUGGCACAGGCCAGGGGGUAGCGACUGUUUACCAAAAACACAGGUGCAUGCGAAGGCGCAAGCCGCUGUAUAUGCACUGACGCCUGCCCGGUGCCGGAAGGUUAAGAGGAUCCGUCAGCCCUUUGGGGUGAAGCGGUGAAUUCAAGCCCCGGUAAACGGCGGUGGUAACUAUAACCAUCCUAAGGUAGCGAAAUUCCUUGUCGGGUAAGUUCCGACCUGCACGAAUGGCGUAACGACUUCCCCACUGUCUCGACCAGGAGCUCGGCGAAAUUGCAGUACGAGUAAAGAUGCUCGUUAAGCGCAGAAGGACGAAAAGACCCCGGGACCUUUACUAUACCUUGGUAUUGUCGUUAGGUGUGGAUUGUGUAGCAUAGGCGGGAGACGUUGAGGCCGUGGCGCCAGCCAUGGUGGAGUCGUAAGGUGAAAUACCGUUCUGUUCAUAUCUGGCGUCUAACCUCGGCACGUGAUCCGUGCCAGGGACAGUGCCUGGCGGGUAGUUUAACUGGGGCGGUUGCCUCCCAAAGAGUAACGGAGGCGCCCAAAGGUUCCCUCGGCCCGGUUGGCAAUCGGGUGUUGAGUGUAAUCGCACAAGGGAGCUUGACUGCGAGGGCGACGGCCCGAGCAGGGACGAAAGUCGGGGAUAGUGAUCCGGUGCCGGCGCGCGGGCGCGGCAUCGCUCAACGGAUAAAAGGUACCCCGGGGAUAACAGGCUGAUCAUUCCCAAGAGUCCAUAUCGACGGGAUGGUUUGGCACCUCGAUGUCGGCUCGUCGCAUCCUGGGGCUGGAGCAGGUCCCAAGGGUUCGGCUGUUCGCCGAUUAAAGCGGCACGCGAGCUGGGUUCAGAACGUCGUGAGACAGUUUGGUCUCUAUCCUCUGCGCUCGUUGGAAUCUUGAGGAGUCCUGCCCAUAGUACGAGAGGACCUGGGUGGACGGACCUCUGGUUUGCCGGUUGUCGCGCCAGUGGCAUGGCCGGUUGGCUACGUUCGGAAGGGAUAACCGCUGAAAGCAUCUAAGCGGGAAGCCUUCUCCAAGAUGAGGAUUCCUUGACAC
Molecule: ribosomal RNA, 2871 nt
Filed under: Bifidobacterium vespertilionis
Lineage: Bacteria; Bacillati; Actinomycetota; Actinomycetes; Bifidobacteriales; Bifidobacteriaceae
Description: partial 23S ribosomal RNA
Rfam family: Bacterial large subunit ribosomal RNA
Source: RNAcentral